This 468-nucleotide ribosomal RNA is filed under the name uncultured bacterium. RNAcentral's name for it is "partial 16S ribosomal RNA". It matches the Rfam family "Bacterial small subunit ribosomal RNA", at positions 28 to 507 of the family's 1533-position model. The record is from RNAcentral.
GACGAACGCUGGCGGCGUGCUUAACACAUGCAAGUCGAGCGGACAGGCCCUGCUCUUGUGGGUUGCUCGAGUGGCGAGCGGGUGAGUAACACGUGAGUAACCUGCCCUUGUCUUUGGGGUAUCUUCAGGGAACUGGGGCUAAUACCGGAUAGGAGCUCCUGCUGCAUGGUGGGGGUUGGAAAGUUUCGGCGGUUGGGGAUGGACUCGCGGCUUCUCAGCUUGUUGGUGGGGUAGUGGCUUUCCAGGCCUUCGACGGGUAGCCGGCAUGGGAGGGUGACCGGCCACAUGAGGACUGAGAUACGGAGCAGACGCCAACGGGAGGCAGCAGGCGGGAAUAUGGCACAAUGGCCGGAAGCCUGAUGCAGCAACGCCGCGUGCGGGAUGCCGGCCUUCGGGGGGUAAACCGCUGUCGACUGAGACGAAGCGGGAGUGACGGUAAUGGGUAAAGAAGCACCGGCUAACUACGUG